RNAcentral lists this ribosomal RNA (434 nucleotides) under uncultured Lachnospiraceae bacterium. RNAcentral's name for it is "partial 16S ribosomal RNA". It matches the Rfam family "Bacterial small subunit ribosomal RNA", at positions 341 to 792 of the family's 1533-position model. The record is from RNAcentral. Lineage: Bacteria; Bacillati; Bacillota; Clostridia; Lachnospirales; Lachnospiraceae.
ACGGAAGGCAGCAGUGGGGGAUAUUGCACAAUGGGGGAAACCCUGAUGCAGCGACGCCGCGUGAGCGAAGAAGUAUUUCGGUAUGUAAAGCUCUAUCAGCAGGGAAGAAAAUGACGGUACCUGACUAAGAAGCUCCGGCUAAAUACGUGCCAGCAGCCGCGGUAAUACGUAUGGAGCAAGCGUUAUCCGGAUUUACUGGGUGUAAAGGGAGCGUAGACGGUUUGCCAAGUCUGAUGUGAAAGGUGGGGGCUCAGCCCCCAAACUGCAUUGGAAACUGGUAGACUAGAGUGUCGGAGAGGUAAGUGGAAUUCCUAGUGUAGCGGUGAAAUGCGUAGAUAUUAGGAGGAACACCAGUGGCGAAGGCGGCUUACUGGACGAUAACUGACGUUGAGGCUCGAAAGCGUGGGGAGCAAACAGGAUUAGAUACCCUGGUA